GCCAUCAUGGAUACCAGCUGUGUGCAGCCUAUCAAGCUGGUCAGGGUCACCUAGGUCCUGGGCAGGACCCGUUCUCAGGGACAGUGCACGCAGGGCUCUGGAGGUUCCUG
Molecule: long non-coding RNA, 110 nt
Organism: Cebus imitator (Panamanian white-faced capuchin)
Lineage: Eukaryota; Metazoa; Chordata; Mammalia; Primates; Cebidae
Exons: 3
Source: RefSeq, a predicted model, not a curated record